AGGGUUCGAUCAUGGCUCAGGACGAACGCUGGCGGCGCGCCUAACACAUGCAAGUCGAACGAGCGAGAGAGAGCUUGCUUUCUCAAGCGAGUGGCGAACGGGUGAGUAACGCGUGAGGAACCUGCCUCAAAGAGGGGGACAACAGUUGGAAACGACUGCUAAUACCGCAUAAGCCCACAGGUCGGCAUCGACCAGAGGGAAAAGGAGCAAUCCGCUUUGAGAUGGCCUCGCGUCCGAUUAGCUAGUUGGUGAGGUAAUGGCCCACCAAGGCGACGAUCGGUAGCCGGACUGAGAGGUUGAACGGCCACAUUGGGACUGAGACACGGCCCAG
This 331-nucleotide ribosomal RNA is filed under the name uncultured bacterium. Its description in RNAcentral is "bacterial SSU rRNA". It matches the Rfam family "Bacterial small subunit ribosomal RNA", at positions 8 to 334 of the family's 1533-position model. The record is from RNAcentral.